Molecule: long non-coding RNA, 220 nt
Filed under: Vigna radiata
Lineage: Eukaryota; Viridiplantae; Streptophyta; Magnoliopsida; Fabales; Fabaceae
Description: long non-coding RNA (VRAD_LNC002701)
Source: RNAcentral
UCUAAACCUCAGAUAAUCCACCUCCCAAAUUUCUUGUAUUAUUCCAAAAUAACUAAUUGAUGCAGUGAUCGGAUUUUUGUCUUUAGAACUAGAGAAGUGCACUGACUCAACUUUUAGUGUAACUCCACUAUUUUGAACUCUACUUUUGUCAUCUUCUUCCUUUGUUUGAAAAGAGAUAUUGUUAAUAUAGUACCCACCAUAUGUAAUGACAUCUGUGUUC